UCCAGACUCCUACGGGAGGCAGCAGUGAGGAAUAUUGGUCAAUGGACGAGAGUCUGAACCAGCCAAGUAGCGUGCAGGAUGACGGCCCUAUGGGUUGUAAACUGCUUUUAUAAGGGAAUAAAGUGAGCCUCGUGAGGCUUUUGCAUGUACCUUAUGAAUAAGGACCGGCUAAUUCCGUGC
This 180-nucleotide ribosomal RNA is filed under the name uncultured bacterium. RNAcentral's name for it is "partial 16S ribosomal RNA". It matches the Rfam family "Bacterial small subunit ribosomal RNA", at positions 330 to 508 of the family's 1533-position model. The record is from RNAcentral.